RNAcentral lists this ribosomal RNA (1024 nucleotides) under Pseudomonas fluorescens. RNAcentral describes it as "bacterial SSU rRNA". It matches the Rfam family "Bacterial small subunit ribosomal RNA", at positions 33 to 1054 of the family's 1533-position model. Lineage: Bacteria; Pseudomonadati; Pseudomonadota; Gammaproteobacteria; Pseudomonadales; Pseudomonadaceae. The record is from RNAcentral.
GCACAUGCGUAAGUUCUACACAUGCAGUCGAGCGGUAGAGAGAAGCUUGCUUCUCUUGAGAGCGGCGGACGGGUGAGUAAUGCCUAGGAAUCUGCCUGGUAGUGGGGGAUAACGUUCGGAAACGGACGCUAAUACCGCAUACGUCCUACGGGAGAAAGCAGGGGACCUUCGGGCCUUGCGCUAUCAGAUGAGCCUAGGUCGGAUUAGCUAGUUGGUGAGGUAAUGGCUCACCAAGGCGACGAUCCGUAACUGGUCUGAGAGGAUGAUCAGUCACACUGGAACUGAGACACGGUCCAGACUCCUACGGGAGGCAGCAGUGGGGAAUAUUGGACAAUGGGCGAAAGCCUGAUCCAGCCAUGCCGCGUGUGUGAAGAAGGUCUUCGGAUUGUAAAGCACUUUAAGUUGGGAGGAAGGGUUGUAGAUUAAUACUCUGCAAUUUUGACGUUACCGACAGAAUAAGCACCGGCUAACUCUGUGCCAGCAGCCGCGGUAAUACAGAGGGUGCAAGCGUUAAUCGGAAUUACUGGGCGUAAAGCGCGCGUAGGUGGUUUGUUAAGUUGGAUGUGAAAUCCCCGGGCUCAACCUGGGAACUGCAUUCAAAACUGACUGACUAGAGUAUGGUAGAGGGUGGUGGAAUUUCCUGUGUAGCGGUGAAAUGCGUAGAUAUAGGAAGGAACACCAGUGGCGAAGGCGACCACCUGGACUAAUACUGACACUGAGGUGCGAAAGCGUGGGGAGCAAACAGGAUUAGAUACCCUGGUAGUCCACGCCGUAAACGAUGUCAACUAGCCGUUGGAAGCCUUGAGCUUUUAGUGGCGCAGCUAACGCAUUAAGUUGACCGCCUGGGGAGUACGGCCGCAAGGUUAAAACUCAAAUGAAUUGACGGGGGCCCGCACAAGCGGUGGAGCAUGUGGUUUAAUUCGAAGCAACGCGAAGAACCUUACCAGGCCUUGACAUCCAAUGAACUUUCUAGAGAUAGAUUGGUGCCUUCGGGAACAUUGAGACAGGUGCUGCAUGGCUGUCG